This 372-nucleotide unclassified non-coding RNA is filed under the name soil metagenome. RNAcentral's name for it is "partial contains 5.8S ribosomal RNA, internal transcribed spacer 2, and large subunit ribosomal RNA". The stretch from base 1 to 121 matches the Rfam family "5.8S ribosomal RNA", at positions 35 to 154 of the family's 154-position model. The record is from RNAcentral.
GAUGAAGAACGUAGUGAAAUGCGAUAAGUAAUGCGAAUUGCAGAAUUCCAGUGAGUCAUCGAAUCUUUGAACGCACAUUGCGCCCUUUGGUAUUCCGAAGGGCAUGCCUGUUCGAGCGUCAUUAUCACCCCUCAAGCCCUCGGCUUGGUGUUGGACGGUUUGGUGGAGGCCCCCUCGGGGGCUCCUGCCCCUCCCAAAGACAAUGACGGCGGCCUCGUUGGACCCCCGGUACACUGAGUUCUUCACGGGACACGUAUCGGACACAUGGGUUUACGGGACACGGUCUGCCUCCCCUCAGGGAGAAUCUUUCUAAGGUUGACCUCGGAUCAGGUAGGGAUACCCGCUGAACUUAAGCAUAUCAAUAACGGAGGA